GCUUGAAUAGUUUAAAGAAAAUUUUAAUUUGUGGAAUUAAUGAUACAAUUAUUUGUUUUAGGUC
This 64-nucleotide transfer RNA is filed under the name Mazarredia convexa. Its description in RNAcentral is "tRNA-His". The record is from RNAcentral. Lineage: Eukaryota; Metazoa; Arthropoda; Insecta; Orthoptera; Tetrigidae.